This 253-nucleotide ribosomal RNA is filed under the name uncultured bacterium. Its description in RNAcentral is "partial 16S ribosomal RNA". It matches the Rfam family "Bacterial small subunit ribosomal RNA", at positions 524 to 776 of the family's 1533-position model. The record is from RNAcentral.
UACGUAGGGACCAAGCGUUGUUCGGAUUUACUGGGCGUAAAGGGCGCGUAGGCGGCGUGGUAAGUCAGCUGUGAAAUCUCCGAGCUUAACUCGGAACGGUCAGCUGAUACUGCUGUGCUAGAGUGCAGAAGGGGCAAUCGGAAUUCUUGGUGUAGCGGUGAAAUGCGUAGAUAUCAGGAGGAACACCCAUGGCGAAGGCAGCAAACUGGUCAUCAACUGACGCUGAGGCGCGAAAGCGUGGGUAGCAAACAGG